AUGCAUGCAAAUCUAACAAUAGAUUCUGCAGAUGACUCCAGAGUGAAUCCGGAGGUCGUGAUAGGGAAUGAGCCGCAUGCCCAACGACAGCUAAAGGCUGGUGAGCGCGUGCUUAAAAAGGUUAGGCAGGAGAAAAACAAUCUCCAAGAUGCCAAUAUCCAGCUGGGCGUGGAACUGAAAGAUGUUCGGGCCCAGCUUGCUGACUCCGUAAAGGAGAAUAAGAGGCUUCGACGCGGCAUUUUCAGUAAGUGCUUGAACGAACUUUUAAAGAGUUCGGGAAAGAAACCGGCUAACAGAGUUAUAUCUGCAGGUAUGCUGAUGGGUCGUCCCGAGGAGGAGAUGCCCGGGUCUGCGGGUGAUCUUCUUCCAGAGCUCUCAUAA
This 381-nucleotide ribosomal RNA is filed under the name Triticum aestivum (bread wheat). RNAcentral describes it as "partial small subunit ribosomal RNA". Lineage: Eukaryota; Viridiplantae; Streptophyta; Magnoliopsida; Poales; Poaceae. The record is from RNAcentral.